AUUGAACGCUGGCGGCAGGCCUAACACAUGCAAGUCGAGCGGAUGAAGGGAGCUUGCUCCUGGAUUCAGCGGCGGACGGGUGAGUAAUGCCUAGGAAUCUGCCUGGUAGUGGGGGAUAACGUCCGGAAACGGGCGCUAAUACCGCAUACGUCCUGAGGUAGAAAGUGGGGGAUCUUCGGACCUCACGCUAUCAGAUGAGCCUAGGUCGGAUUAGCUAGUUGGUGGGGUAAAGGCCUACCAAGGCGACGAUCCGUAACUGGUCUGAGAGGAUGAUCAGUCACACUGGAACUGAGACACGGUCCUGACUCCUACGGGAGGCAGCAGUGGGGAAUAUUGGACAAUGGGCGAAAGCCUGAUCCAGCCAUGCCGCGUGUGUGAAGAAGGUCUUCGGAUUGUAAAGCACUUUAAGUUGGGAGGAAGGGCAGUAAGUUAAUACCUUGCUGUUUUGACGUUACCAACAGAAUAAGCACCGGCUAACUUCGUG
Molecule: ribosomal RNA, 484 nt
Filed under: uncultured bacterium
Lineage: Bacteria
Description: partial 16S ribosomal RNA
Rfam family: Bacterial small subunit ribosomal RNA
Source: RNAcentral